RNAcentral lists this ribosomal RNA (497 nucleotides) under uncultured bacterium. RNAcentral's name for it is "partial 16S ribosomal RNA". It matches the Rfam family "Bacterial small subunit ribosomal RNA", at positions 26 to 507 of the family's 1533-position model. The record is from RNAcentral.
GGGGGGGGGGGGGGGGGGGCCGGGGAGGUGCGGGGCGAGCGGACGGGCGGGAAGCUUGCGUCGCUGAGGUUAGCGGCGGGCGGGGGGGUAACACGUGGAUAACCUACCUAUGAGCCUGGGAUCACUUCGGGAACCCGGAGCUAAUACCGGAUAAUAUUUUGAACCGCAUGGUUCAAAAGUGAAGGACGGUCUUGCUGUCCCCUCUCGAUGGAUCCGCGCUGCAUUAGCUAGUUGGUAAGGUAACGGCUUACCAAGGCAACGAUGCAUAGCCGACCUGAGAGGGUGAUCGGCCACACGGGAACUGAGACACGGUCCAGACUCCUACGGGAGGCAGCAGUAGGGAAUCUUCCGCAAUGGGCGAAAGCCUGACGGAGCAACGCCGCGUGAGUGAUGAAGGUCUUCGGAUCGUAAAACUCUGUUAUUAGGGAAGAACAUAUGUGUAAGUAACUGUGCACAUCUUGACGGUACCUAAUCAGAAAGCCACGGCUAACUACGUG